AAGAAGAGAACUUAGGUAAUAACUCAAGACCUAAUUCCUCUCCUCUCCUUUUCUCUCCCGAUGGCACAGCUCUUCUCGGCGAAAACGCAGCAAUGGAUCUAGGAUUCCUCUCCGGCGGCCGGCCAAGGCUAUUUCGGAGGGUUUUCCACAGAGCCGCGAUCACGUCGUCAAGGAGAGCACGAGGAUACAAGAGGACGUCGAGUUCUGCGGUUUCUCCGAAACCCUAAAGGUCUUCUUCGGCUGUAAGUCCAAGAAACAACAUAUAAAGGAAAGGAAAAGCUAAAGCAAAGGAAGGCGACGAGGAGGUGCGGAUGGUGUGUGAUGCCAGGACUAUGUGAAAGACUUGGGACGUUAUUAAGUUUUUCGUGUUUUAGUGGACUGUAAACAUUUGAGAUUGUACUGUAUAGUUCAUGUCAUUUGAGAUUGUAUUUUAUACUCCAUGUCAUUUGAGUUCAUCCUUGUUUUAGAUUGCA
This is a long non-coding RNA of Zingiber officinale, 473 nucleotides long. RefSeq lists it as uncharacterized. Lineage: Eukaryota; Viridiplantae; Streptophyta; Magnoliopsida; Zingiberales; Zingiberaceae. The transcript has 2 exons. The record is from RefSeq and is a predicted model, not a curated record.